GAUGAACGCUGGCGGCGUGCCUAAUACAUGCGAGUCGAGCGAACAGAUGAGGAGCUUGCUCCUCUGACGUUAGCGGCGGACGGGUGAGUAACACGUGUAUAACCUACCUAUAAGACUGGGAUAACUUCGGGAAACCGUAGCUAAUACCGGAUAAUAUAUUGAACCGCAUUGUUCAAUAGUUAAAUACGGUUUUUCUUUCACUUAUAGAUGGAUCCGCGCCGAAUUAGUUGGUUGUUAAGGUAACGGCUUACCAAGGCAACGAUGCGUAGCCGACCUGAGAGGGUGAUCGGCCACACUGGCAGUGAGACACGGCACAGACUCCUACGGGAGGCAGCAGUAGGGAAUCUUCCGCAAUGGGCGAAAGCCUGACGGAGCACCGCCGCGUGAGUGAUGAAGGUCUUCGGCUCGUAAAACUAUGUUAUUAGGGAAGAAGAAAUGUGUAAGUAACCAUGCACGUCUUGACGGUACCUAAUCAGAAAGCCACGGCUAACUACGUG
RNAcentral lists this ribosomal RNA (497 nucleotides) under uncultured bacterium. RNAcentral's name for it is "partial 16S ribosomal RNA". It matches the Rfam family "Bacterial small subunit ribosomal RNA", at positions 28 to 507 of the family's 1533-position model. The record is from RNAcentral.